AUGAGAUGAUCUGUGCAGCAAACCACCAUGGCACAGGUUUACCUGUGUAACAAACUUGCACAUCUUCUGCAUGUAUCCUAGAACUCAAACGUUGAUGAAAAAAAAGAUUUACCUUCAUUUAAAAAGCUUAGAUUCUGUUACCUAUAAAUAUAGGUCACUGAACUUUUAUUUAUGCUGCAUAACUAUCCUGGUUCUGCUAAAGGUAUAUUAAAUAUAAUGUUUAUUUGAUGAUUCAAAAUGUACCUCAAGUUUAUGAUUCUAGAGCUUGGUAUAUCAGAAGAUGAAGUAGAUGAGGCUGCAUCUGUCUGCGUUGGCUCUCAGAUGUUUGGUCUGUUGACUUUCUCUGCCCGAUGACAAGAACGCUAUCUGUUUUGAAGUGACUUUUAAUUUGUUGAAUAUUGGUGGUGAGUGGAAAAUGAAUGUAAAUGAAAUAUCAUAUUGCUGGAGCAGGUAGAAUGGAUGUGAAUGAAAGCUUCCUGUUUUAUGGGCUGCUGAGAGGUGAUAGCUCUUAAAAAGCAGUCUGCUAAGUGAUCCCAAGCUAAUGCAAAUUAACAGUUGUUUUCUUUCAGAGCUGUGACAGAAUAAACAUUUACCAUUUGUUUUAUUUCUACUCAUCUCUUAAAACAGUUGCUACAGGUCUUAAUAGUAAGACUCGAAACAUAUAAUGUAUUAGCCUUGGCACAUCAAAAUAUUGUUCAUCUUCCAAACUUGAGAUAUUCCAGUUUGGCUUCUCAUUGAGUUUAUAAUGUUCUGAGGGUAUGUGUCUAAAAACGCAUCUUACUAAUCUCCUGGAAUUGAUUUUUUUUUAAAAAGUCCCUGUAACUUGUCACUAUUCCCAGCUUAAACAUGGUCUGUCAGUUGUGAGAUCGAUGGGCAUUGUGGUACAUUUCAAUCUUAGGAGGGACCUGAAUAAGAAAUUUAAACCAUUAAAUAGUAUUUUGGAAGGGAGACGUAUGAUAUUUGUGCAAACUAAUAAUGAGGUUAAAAAUGGAAUUUCAGCCUUAGCUUUUUUGUAUAUGCCUUUCACGUGAUUCAAUGUGAUCACCCUUUCUCAUAGCACCACGGUGGCAACUGUGAGGGGUAAAGAAUCUCAGCAAUUGCACAACAGUAUCAAAUACAUUCAUUUUAGGAACUCUCCUAAAGGUUUAUUCCAAUCGUUAACAUUCCUGGAGCUGGCGUUGUCUGCCAAGUGCUCAGCGCUAGUUCACAGGCAGCAAAUUUAGCAUGACAAAGUUGCUCCCAUUUUGCAAAUGGGAAACCUGGAGCCCCAAAUGGAGCCUCUCACAGUAAACUGCAGAAUGGAGAUGAGAUCCUAGAGAUACAGUAUAAGGGAUUAUCUGGGAUCAUGUAGAUGGUUUGCAGUUGCCUUUGUAUGGCUACCGGGUUAGAUCAUUCUUGGCAAGUUUGGUGAAUUAGUAUCCUAUUCCUGAGUCCCAUUUCAAUACCUAGCUUGGAACUCUUCCACUCCCUGAAAACUUCCAUUGAAAUUUUUAUCAAUGGUAUUUGCAUAGACAAAAUGGAAUCAAACUAUUGACAUGUACUUUUCAUAUAUAUAAAAAAAAAAGCAAAUUUAUGUGAAUGGUUUGUCAGUGGAGAUAAUUUAGCCAAAGGCACCUGUCUUCUCUAAGGACCCUGCCUGAAAAGACUUUUAGGGGGAGCUUGGUGAAUUUUUUUGUCUUUAAAAUAAAGCUGUUUUUGAGGUAUGAGAGAAGCUUGGUUUUUGAAAUGGCACAAUGAAUAACAAAAGCCCCUUUUCACCCCCCAAAAAAAGGACUAAAAAGAACAUUUGUGAGACUCUUAGGGAAGAAUUGUGCUGUUAACAUAAAAGUCUAGAUACAAGGAAAGGGAAAAUGGGAAGAAAAGGAGGAGCAGGUAAUACUGGGGAAAUGCUGGACCCUGACAGCAACUUGUUUUACAAAGAUGAUUACACUCAAACUUGGAUUCAAAAUGUAAGAAAGCAUGUUUACAGUGAAUAAAACAGCUAGAAGAUAAAACUUAGCAGAAUAGCCUGUUGUUGAGUACAGACUUAUGCCUGAGUAUGCAUGUGUUUCUCUCUCGGUUCUUUCCUCUUCUCCCACACUGGCCCUAUAAGUAUAUUCUGGCAGACAAGUGGCCAGUAACCAGUCUUCAUAAUGGAGGUCAGGUGAUUUGUAUUUUUGGAUUUUUGGAAUCGACAGGGCUUAUAAUUGAUUUGAAGAUGGAAAGUACACUAUUUCACCACCGCCUGUCAUUUAGUGGAUGUGGUUCUUGAGUAUGUCCAGAAUUAUAUUGUUGUUAAUGUGUCUUGAGCCCUGACCUAAACUGUAGAUGAGAAGGCUCUUUAAAUAUUAAAAUGCAGAACAAACAGAAUUGCUUAUGCAGUAGGAAAGUGCACGGUAUUCAAAAGUCAGACCUCCAUCUUUUUAUGGGGCAGCUAUUGUGAAUGCUACAUUUCUGUCCAAAAUAUAACUCUUUUGAAAACUCCCUCUUUAACAAAAAUACCAAGUUGAUGGCCUCUCUUUAAAAAAAAAAAAAAAGGAAAGUAACAGAAUAUAACUUCAGAAUUAUCAAAUAUGUUUAUCCCCCUUACAUGUCAAAGUUUAAGUGCUAUGUUUUACAUACACAGUCAUCAUGAUAUUUGAAAAGGCUGUAAAGAAAAACAAUUGUAUAAUUGUUUCUAAAGAACAUAGAAGCAAGGAUCAAAAGGCUUUUAGAAACUAGAGAACAGUAUUAACAAUUAUGGUACCUGAAGUCAAGCUGCAAAAUUCUGUCCUAAUUAUUGGUGAUGAUUAAUUUAGCAUAAAGUUACACGCCUUGAAAGAAUUUCGGAAUUAUUUUUCUUUGAUUUUUCUACCAAAAAAAGGCCCACCCCAUCAUUUUCUAUUUUAGCAGUUUCCACAACUUAAACAUUAAAUUCUUAUUGUUUGAUUUCUGUUAUAUUAGUAGUGUGUGUUUUGCAAUUCUAAUCUUCACGUUUUUCUUUCUUUAUCACUGAAGUAGGCCUUUUGAAGCUGGGAAAUUUUUCAUAGCAAUAUUGACAGUGUUCACAUUUGCAUGAUGACAGCCAAGGAAUGGAGCAGUAAUUUUUGAAAUUGCAGAAGUAUUUAGAACACUGAUAAAAGCUGAAAUAUAUUUUUGAUGGAUUGAAGUUAAGCAUACAUGAUUUUUCCUGCUGUCAAAAGGCUCUGAAUUUAGUGAAUAUUUGCCUGCUGUGAGAAUGCAAGAUUAACAUCACAACCAUCACCCGGGCACCCAAACCCUGCAAUUUAAUAGCUUUUUAGGUUCUUUCCUUUUUCUAAACAGCAAUUAAUCUCAUUUUAGUACAAUUUUCUCGUUUCUGAAGUCGCUCAUUGAAUCGCUGUUUUGUUCAUAUUUGGCUUCAGCUCCUCUGCAUAGUCAUUAAAGUCCCAAUUAAUGUCACCUUUAGCUGAAGAGUACUCAUUUUUAUUGAGAAAAUGACAGUUGCUGCCAUGAGUAGUGCAGUGUAAUAUACAUUAAUUGCCCUGUAACACUGGUAAUUACGAGUUUUUCAAGCCUCUCAGUAAACUGUCAUGCCUAGACAAGACUGUGCUAAAAUAGAUUACUCAUUAGGGAGACCUGUCCUAUUUUCUGGUGGGUUCUUAGUGUUGGUUUAAAAAAAAAAAAAAAAAUCUUGAGCUUGAACAAAUAGUUGCCAAGAGCAAUUUCCUACAACAAUAUCCUCAUGUUGGGUUUUUCAGCCAUCACUUAAGAUUGCGG
Cebus imitator (Panamanian white-faced capuchin) is the source of this 3717-nucleotide long non-coding RNA. RefSeq lists it as uncharacterized. The transcript is spliced from 3 exons. Lineage: Eukaryota; Metazoa; Chordata; Mammalia; Primates; Cebidae. The record is from RefSeq and is a predicted model, not a curated record.